Molecule: ribosomal RNA, 397 nt
Filed under: uncultured bacterium
Lineage: Bacteria
Description: partial 16S ribosomal RNA
Rfam family: Bacterial small subunit ribosomal RNA
Source: RNAcentral
AUACGUAGGGGGCGAGCGUUGUCCGGAAUGAUUGGGCGUAAAGGGCGCGUAGGCGGCCUGUUAAGUCUGGAGUGAAAGUCCUGUUUUCAAGGUGGGAAUUGCUUUGGAGACUGGUUGGCUUGAGUGCGGAAGAGGUAAGUGGAAUUCCCAGUGUAGCGGUGAAAUGCGUAGAGAUUGGGAGGAACACCAGUGGCGAAGGCGACUUACUGGGCCGUAACUGACGCUGAGGCGCGAAAGCGUGGGGAGCGAACAGGAUUAGAUACCCUGGUAGUCCACGCUGUAAACGAUGAAUGCUAGGUGUAGGGGGUAUCGACCCCUCCUGUGCCGGAGUAAACGCAAUAAGCAUUCCGCCUGGGGAGUACGGCCGCAAGGUUGAAACUCAAAGGAAUUGACGGGG